CUGUACUGGAACCACAGAAUUAGAAUGACUCUGAUUCUAUGAUUCUAAUUCUAUACACUGUACUGGAACCACAGAAUUAGAAUGACUCUGAUUCUAAGAUUCUAAUUCUAUACACUGUACUGGAACCACAGAAUUAGAAUGACUCUGAUUCUAUGAUUCUAAUUCUAUACACUGUACUGGAACCACAGAAUUAGAAUGACUCUGAUUCUAAGAUUCUAAUUCUAUACACUGUACUGGAACCACAGAAUUAGAAUGACUCUGAUUCUAUGAUUCUAAUUCUAUACACUGUACUGGGACAUUGGUAUGCGCUGUAUACUGUAGAAUCCCAGCAGCUGAUAACGGCAUUGAUCAGGUCCAACAAGGGAUGAUAUGUUACAAGAACACUGGACAUUUUCACACUGUAUCUCUGUAUCACUGUAUCUUGCCCAAUGGAUUUAAUAAUGCUUAACCACUAGCCAAAUACGAUGUGUGUUUAAGAAGUACUUUCUUAGCUAUAUAUUUUCUGUUUUAUUUUGUUUGAAUGGUAGAAGAUCAGAGACGACUUUCUGCUCUGGAUCGUGAUGUUGAUAGUCUCUCCAGACAUGUUGAUAGUCUCUCCCGUAGUCUCUCCAGACAUCUGCUUUGCCUCCCACAAUUUUCAAAUGCUCCAACUUAGGGUCUGGUUUUCAAGACUAGACAACACAAGUAUUGACAUCUGAACAGCGUUUUUUUUAAACCCCUGGUGCCUUAUCUUUCUCUAUAAAACAGGAAGGCUGUCAUCUUAUCACCAGACAGAAGCAGCUCAUGGACUUGAUUGAAUGCUGUUCAUGUCUGAGCUAAUAGAGGCAUCCAUUUUGUGACCUGGGACUUGUAUAACCGAACAAGAAAGAAAGGGUUACCAGAGGUCACUCUAACACCUUCCUGAAUGAGUCCAGAGAUCACUCUAACAUUCUCCUGAAUGAGUCCAGAGGUCACUCUAACAUUCUCCUGAAUGAGUCCAGAGAUCACUCUAACACCUUCCUGAAUGAGUCCAGAGAUCACUCUAACAUUCUCCUGAAUGAGUCCAGAGGUCACUCUAACAUUCUCCUGAAUGAGUCCAGAGAUCACUCUAACACCUUCCUGAAUGAGUCCAGAGAUCACUCUAACAUUCUCCUGAAUGAGUCCAGAGGUCACUCUAACAUUCUCCUGAAUGAGUCCAGAGGUCACUCUAACAUUCUCCUGAAUGAGUCCAGAGAUCACUCUAACAUUCUCCUGAAUGAGUCCAGAGGUCACUCUAACAUUCUCCUGAAUGAGUCCAGAGAUCACUCUUACAUUCUCCUGAAUGAGUCCAGAGAUCACUCUAACAUUCUCCUGAAUGAGUCCAGAGAUCACUCUAACAUUCUCCUGAAUGAGUACAGAGGUCACUAUAACAUUCUCCUGAAUGAGUCCAGAGGUCACUCUAACAUUCUCCUGAAUGAGUCCAGAGGUCACUCUAACAUUCUCUGAAUGAGUCCAGAGGUCACGCUAACAUUCUCCUGAAUGAGUCCAGAGGUCACUCUAACAUUCUCCUGAAUGAGUCCAGAGGUCACUAACACCUUCCUGAAUGAGUCCAGAGGUCACUAACAUUCUCCUGAAUGAGUCCAGAGGUCACUCUAACAUUCUCUGAAUGAGUCCAGAGGUCACUAACAUUCUCCUGAUUGAGUCCAGAGGUCACUAACAUUCUCCUGAAUGAGUCCAGAGGUCACUCUACCACCUUCCUGAAUGAGUCCAGAGGUCACUAACACCUUCCUGAAAGAGUCCAGAGAUCACUAACACCUUCCUGAAUGAGUCCAGAGGUCACUAACACCUUCCUGAAUGAGUCCAGGGGUCACUAACACCUUACUGAAUGAGUCCAGAGGUCACUAACACCUUCCUGAAUGAGUCCAGAGAUCACUAACACCUUCCUGAAUGAGUCCAGAGGUCACUAACACCUUCCUGAAUGAGUCCAGGGGUCACUAACACCUUACUGAAUGAGUCCAGAGGUCACUAACACCUUCCUGAAUGAGUCCAGAGGUCACUAACACCUUCCUGAAUGAGUCCAGAGGUCACUAACACCUUCCUGAAUGAGUCCAGAGGUCACUAACACCUUCCUGAAUGAGUCCAGAGGUCACUAACACCUUCCUGAAUGAGUCCAGAGGUCACUAACACCUUCCUGAAUGAGUCCAGAGGUCACUAACACCUUCCUGAAUGAGUCCAGAGGUCACUAACAUUGAUUGCUCUAAAUCUGUGUAACACUUUUUGUCUUCCCCUCUCUGACGGGAAACAACACCCUGUCCCCGAAGUCAUGUUUAUACCUCCUCUGGAAAUAGUUUUUCAUAUGUCCUCUGUUAUUGUCUUUCCCUUUACUCACUGACCACUCCCCUCUUUGAUAUACUAUUGGCCAUGUUCCUCAUAUGUCGGAACUAUACACUACUUAUUAUAUACAUGUGUGAUGAAGGACCCUUUGGACAUCUGGUAUCUGAAUGGUAUCAAGUUAACAAAGUAUUCUGAUUCUGUGAUCAGGUGUGUUGAAACAGGUGUGUUGAAACACAGUCCCUCUAAGGUGUGUUGAAGAUCUCACCUGACCUGUUGUGUCAUGAGAAAUAUAAAUUUUAAAAAACAUAAUCAAAUGAAUAUACUUCAUUGAACAUGACAAAAUAUAAAGACAUUGUACUAUACUGUAUUACCAAUAUGAUGUUGACAUACAUGAGUACAGUGUAAUAUUUUAGCUUAUUUAUAAUGCACCAGCCAGCCUUUACAGUAAAACCAGCAUAGCAUUGUAUAUAUCAACUGAUUUAUGCUCUCUUGGGUGGUUGCAUCUGGUUCCAACUGGUUUCAACUGGUUUCAAAUGGUUCCAACUGGUUUCAACUGGUUCCAACUGGCUCCAUCUGGUUCCAACUGGUUCCACAUGGUUUCAACUGGUUCCAACUGGUUUCAACUGGUUCCAAAUGGUUCCAACUGGUUCCACAUGGUUUCAACUGGUUCCAACUGGUUUCAACUGGUUCCAAAUGGUUCCAACUUGUUCCACGUGGUUUCAACUGGUUUCAACUGGUUCCAAAUGGUUCCAACUAGUUCCAAAUGGUUCCAACUGGUUCCACGUGGUUUCAACUGGUUCCAACUGGUUCCAACUUGUUCCACGUGGUUUCAACUGGUUCCACGUGGUUUCAACUGGUUCCAAAUGGUUCCAACUAGUUCCAAAUGGUUCCAACUGGUUCCACGUGGUUUCAACUGGUUCCAACUGGUUCCACGUGGUUUCAACUGGUUCCAACUGGUUCCACGUGGUUUCAACUGGUUCCAACUGGUUUCAAAUGGUUCCAACUGGUUCCAAAUGGUUCCAACUGGUUCCAAGUGGUUCCAACUGGUUUUAAAUGGUAUAGAAAUUCAUCAACUGUUCCUGUGUAGCUUCAUUUUGUAACAAUGUAUGUUCCUUUUUAUGUUAUUUUAGUUAUAUCAUUAUACUGUUGACUGUUGUUACUCUAUCCUUGUUGUUGUUGUUGUUAUAUUAUUCAUAUGUAAACAUUGUUAUGCUAUAUUAUGAAACUCUGUGCCAAUCAAAAUCGCUAUUCGGCUUUUACCUGUCUCACUGGAUAAGAAAACACACACAGAGAGAGAAAGAGAGAGAGAGAGUAGAGAAUUGAAGGAGUUUGUCUGGUGGGAGUCCGUGAUGUCAUCGGGCUCCAUCUUGCUUGAGGAACUGCAGAGACCUAAGGAGGAAAGGCCAUCCUGUGUCACACCCUGUCACACCUGGACUACCGAUUGAGAUGUGGCUUUUGUUAAGGAAAUCAGGUGUUAAAUGACACUUUAAAUCUUUACUUCAUUUUUUAAAAUACGUUUAUCUUAUUACUCUAAUUCUUAUGGCUUAAAGCCCUUCAGAGCACUAAAAUACUUAAUGAAAGCAUAAAUACCCCUCCUUCAUUCACCUCUAUACUAUUCCUGUUCCUGCUUUUAAAGUCCUCCCUAUAAAUGUGUGAUUUUUAGUCUUACCUCUUACUUUAUUUUUAAUACACGAUCAUUACAUUUAUUUUGGAACCUUUGCUGUUUUGUAUUUUUGUGUUAAAGAGCAUGUUGCCAUAAUAUGAAUGCAGUGAAUAAAAUAUUGAUUGAAAACAAA
This is a long non-coding RNA of Oncorhynchus tshawytscha (Chinook salmon), 4088 nucleotides long. The record is from Ensembl. NCBI's taxonomy places the organism in Eukaryota, Metazoa, Chordata, Actinopteri, Salmoniformes, Salmonidae.